This 505-nucleotide ribosomal RNA is filed under the name uncultured bacterium. RNAcentral's name for it is "partial 16S ribosomal RNA". It matches the Rfam family "Bacterial small subunit ribosomal RNA", at positions 28 to 507 of the family's 1533-position model. The record is from RNAcentral.
GACGAACGCUGGCGGCGUGCCUAAUACAUGCAAGUAGAACGCACAGUUUAUACCGUAGCUUGCUACACCAUAAACUGUGAGUUGCGAACGGGCGAGUAACGCGUAGGUAACCUGCCUGGUAGCGGGGGAUAACUAUUGGAAACGAUAGCUAAUACCGCAUAAUAUUGAUUAUUGCAUGAUAAUUGAUUGAAAGAUGCUAUUGCAUCACUACCAGAUGGACCUGCGUUGUAUUAGCUAGUAGGUGAGGUAACGGCUCACCUAGGCGACGAUACAUAGCCGACCUGAGAGGGUGAUCGGCCACACUGGGACUGAGACACGGCCCAGACUCCUACGGGAGGCAGCAGUAGGGAAUCUUCGGCAAUGGACGAAAGUCUGACCGAGCAACGCCGCGUGAGUGAAGAAGGUUUUCGGAUCGUAAAGCUCUGUUGUAAGAGAAGAACGGGUGUGAGAGUGGAAAGUUCACACUGUGACGGUAUCUUACCAGAAAGGGACGGCUAACUACGUG